GUGCACGCUCUUCUGUAGGAGACCCUCCACAGACCUCUAAAAGGGACUUAUAAGGACAUGGCAAGCCGAGGGGAGGCAAGGAGGGCGACGCCAAUCUUCAGCUACAGUCACACACACCCCAGUUGAAUGCUCCCUAUCAUCCAGUGUGGAGGUUCCACUUACUGUGCCCUCAGCAGAGCUAAAUCCUCAAGAGCAAUUUGAAAAAAUAUGGAGAGGCUCUCUGAUAUUUUGACAUCUUAUCCUGCUGCUGAGCCUCAGAAAAGCUCUGCAUCAUCAUGGUCUUUGCGGCAGCAGAAAGCCUCAGAGCGCUAGACCAUACCACCUAAAAUGCCUUAUUGCAAAAGAGGCUGAUGGUCAGCCGUUGUGUUUUCUUUACUAUGAGCCUGCUGUUAUUAGGUGCAGAGAGUGUCUUCCUGAGGAGUGGUUCUGUGGGGACUGUGAUGUAUUGCGACACAAAAAACAGCCACUCCACAACAGGGAACGUGUGAUUCAUGGGUUUUUUGAAGCAAACCCUCCAACCUCAUGCGUCAUUAAAGGGCAAGAUGGAUAUUGCAUCCGUGAGAAAGCAUGCAUUUCGCCAACAGUGAAGGUGCCAUACUGCUCCUGUGAAG
Molecule: long non-coding RNA, 611 nt
Organism: Triplophysa rosa
Lineage: Eukaryota; Metazoa; Chordata; Actinopteri; Cypriniformes; Nemacheilidae
Exons: 5
Source: RefSeq, a predicted model, not a curated record